Nannospalax galili (Upper Galilee mountains blind mole rat) is the source of this 142-nucleotide small nucleolar RNA. The record is from Ensembl. Lineage: Eukaryota; Metazoa; Chordata; Mammalia; Rodentia; Spalacidae.
GUGGCUCCAAAUCAAGGCCAACAGUUUGUUUGUUUGAAACAGCUGGUUUCAAGCAGGUGCCUAAAGAAAUGUCUUUCUGUAGUCUGUUGGCCAUUUCAGAAACUUGGAAAUGUAAUGGUCAAUUCAUUAGAAAAAAACAAGU